Molecule: long non-coding RNA, 260 nt
Filed under: Astyanax mexicanus (Mexican tetra)
Lineage: Eukaryota; Metazoa; Chordata; Actinopteri; Characiformes; Acestrorhamphidae
Description: lncRNA (ENSAMXG00005006850.1)
Source: RNAcentral
ACACAACAUACUAAAACCAGCCAGCAUAGGGGUUAGUUCUGUGCUCUCCAUGCUUAUAUACAUUCAUUACUUUACACUGACUGGAGUUUCUUCUGCUUUCCAUUCAUUCCAUUCACACAGAACCGGGUCAUUAAUCCCCACAUCCUCCACAUGUUUGAACAACAUCUUUAAAAGACGCUGCUCGAUGUUCGACCCUCAGGUUCUCCUGUCACCUGUCUGGCCAGAAUGAUGGAAGAUGCCCACUGCCCAGUUUAUGCCAG